UAGGCUUUCAGAAGGAAGAGUGUAACCACAGUCAUCGUACUUGUCAUUGGGGAGUUUUAGGUUUGUUUGUUUUUUCAAGCCGGCUGAGGCAAAUAUCGUGUGGGCUGUGCUGAGCUUCCUUACUGCUGCCCCUCUGGUCUCCGGCAGAUCACGUUUCUGUUUCUCAUGCGUGAUUGGAAAGAUAUACGUUCUCGUAGCUCGGACAGCUUGGUCUCUCUGCAAGGUAGCCGUUAACAUACUGGGAGGUGAGUGAGCCAGCUGUCUUUACUAGUCAAGUCCAACUACAAAGCCGGCCUUCUCCGCUGGGGGAUCUUUAGUUCGGGUUAUUCUGAGAGGGGAUCGAGGGCGACUGGCAGGAGGCGAAGAGUCUGGUGGAGGAGCAGCUCAGCAGCUGUAGUAGAAAACAUCGGUUCUUCAUCAAAGGCGAAACAAUGGAAAGCGUGUCGAAACCUCGGCCCAUUGAUGAUUGCAACAUAACCCAACCAAUUCCAGCAAGUAAAGAUGAACCUGUUGUGAUCCCUGUGGAGAAGACUUCUACCACUAUGAAGCAGGCCAGAAGACGACAGCGCAUUGACAGUGGGAACAGAAGCUUUACAUGCGAUCAGUGUGGAAAGGCUUUUACUCGUAAUAGCAGUUUAACACAACAUCAGCUCAUCCACACUGGAUUAAAACCAUUCAGCUGUGAUCAGUGUGGAAAGGCUUUCACUCACAAUGCCAGCUUAAAAAUACAUCAGCUCGUCCACACUGGAUUAAAAGCAUUCAGCUGUGAUGAGUGUGGAAUGUCUUUUGCUGAGAAUAGCAAGUUAAAAAGACAUCAGCUUGUCCACACUGGCAUUAAACCAUUCAGUUGUGAUCAGUGUGGAAGGGCUUUCACUCAGAGUAGCAGCUUAAAAAAACAUCAGCUCAUCCACACUGGAUUAAAAGCAUUCAGCUGUGAUCAGUGUGGAAUGUCUUUUUCUUGCAAUGGCAACUUAAAAAGACAUCAACUCGUUCACACUGGCAUUAAACCAUUCAGUUGUGAUCAUUGUGGACAGGCUUUUACUCAUAAUAGCAAGUUAAAAAAACAUCUGCUCAUCCACACUGGAUUAAAAGCAUUCAGCUGUGAUCAGUGUGGAAUGUCUUUUACUGAAAAUGGCAAUUUAAAACAACAUCAGCUCGCUCACACUGGAUUUAAACCAUUCAGCUGUGAUCAAUGUGGCAGGGCUUUCACUCAGAGUGGCAGUUUAAAAAAACACCAGCUCAUCCACACUGGAUUUAAACCAUUCAUCUGUGAUCAAUGUGGCAGGGCUUUCACUCAGAGUGGCAGCUUAAAAAAACAUAAGCUCAUCCACACUGGAUUUAAAGCAUUUAGCUGUGAUCAGUGUGGAAAGACUUUCACUGAGAAUGGCAACUUAAAACAACAUCAGCUCAUCCACACUGGAUUUAAACCAUUCAGCUGUGAUCAAUGUGGCAGGGCUUUCACUCAGAGUGGCAGCUUAAAAAAACAUCAGCUCAUCCACACUGGAUUGAAAGCAUUUAGCUGUGAUCAGUGUAAAAAGACUUUCACUGAGAAUGGCAACUUAAAGAAACAUCAGCUCAUCCACACUGAAUUAAAACAGUUUAGCUACAAUCAGUGUGGAAAGACUUUCACUGAGAAUGGCUUAAAAGAAAAUCAGCUCAUCCACACUGGCAUUAAACCAUUCAGCUGUGAUCAGUGUGGAAAGACUUUCACUGAGAAUAGCAGUUUAAAAAAACAUCAGCUCAUCCACACUGGAUUAAAACCAUUUAGCUGUGAUCUGUGUGGAAAGUCUUUUACUCGGCGUAGAACCUUAAAAGAACAUCAGGCCAUCCACACUGGAAUUAAAUCAUUUGUCUGUGGUCAGUGUGGAAAGGCUUUUACUCAGAGUAAAACUUUAAAAGAUCAUCAGCUCAUUCACACUGGAAUUAAACCAUUCAGCUGUGAUCAGUGUGGAAAAUCUUUUACUCGGUGUAAUAACUUGAAAGAACAUCAUCUCCUCCACAUUGGAGUUAAACCAUUCACCUGUGAACAGUGUGGAAAGUCUUUUACUCGGCGUAGAACCUUAAAAGAACAUCAGGCCAUCCACACUGGCAUUAAACCAUUUGUCUGUUGUCAGUGUGGAAAGGGUUUUGGUCGCAUGGAUGCUUUAAGAAAUCAUCAACUAAUCCACACUGGAGUUAAUUAAUUUUUAAGUGGUCAGUGCUAAAAGGCUGUUACUUCUAUGUACAUGUUUUAAAAAAAAAAUCAGAUCGUUCACACUGCAAUUAUAGUGUGUAUUGAUUUAUGGUAAUUGUGAAAUUUGUGGAAAUUCUUUCAUUUAUAACAAAUAUUAUUGAGUCAUUAGAAAAUCCACACUAUAUGUCCUGCUAUGACAAAACUAGCAGACCAAUGUGACAUUACUCUGACAAAGUUCUUUUGGACAUCCUGGUCAAUCAUCUUAAGUUUAAGAUUGCAGACUCCUAUAGCUGUCAUGGUACUGGGUCUUGACCCAGUUUUUUGUGCUUUUGGACAUUAGCUGUUUCCAGCUUCAGUUUUAUUGAAUAUUGUAAUAUUUAGUGUUUAUUUCUAUUUCUGUUCUUGUAUUUGUUUUUCUGCUUUAUGUAAUAUUUGUAAUUUCUAGUCUUUAGGUUCUGUUAUCAUACCUUCCCUCUUUUCCACAUUCUGUGUUUUAUCAGCCUUUACUCCAAGUUUGUUUUACUUUCAAAUUUUAAUUUUAUUCGCCACAUAUAAAGUCAUACAAACUACGAUAUUCAGUGAAAUGCUUGUGUCCAAACUGCGUUUGGUGUUGCUCUUCUGUCUUCCCAGUUUGCCUUGUUCCCAGCUUAGUUUCUUACUUUUAGUUUUUGUGUUCAGCAAUUUGGACAUAGCUAUUCUUGUUUCAUCAUUAUUAUGUUCCUUAUGAAACCUCCAGUUCUUGGGUUGUGUAUGGUUGGGUUUUAUUUAUUAGUAUUUUUGUAUAUUUUGGUGUUUGAGAGUAUUUUUUGCUUCAACAAUAAAUCUGCCUCUUUGCGUUUA
This is a long non-coding RNA of Pelmatolapia mariae (spotted tilapia), 3013 nucleotides long. RefSeq lists it as uncharacterized. NCBI's taxonomy places the organism in Eukaryota, Metazoa, Chordata, Actinopteri, Cichliformes, Cichlidae. The transcript has 3 exons. The record is from RefSeq and is a predicted model, not a curated record.